AUUGAACGCUGGCGGCAUGCUUUACACAUGCAAGUCGAACGGUAACAGGCCGCAAGGUGCUGGCGAGUGGCGAACGGGUGAGUAAUGCAUCGGAACGUGCCCAAUCGUGGGGGAUAACGCAGCGAAAGCUGUGCUAAUACCGCAUACGAACUGUGGAUGCAAGCGGGGGACUCGCAAGGGCCUCGCGCGAUUGGAGAGGCCGAUGUCAGAUUAGGUAGUUGGUGAGGUAAAGGCUCACCAAGCCAACGAUCUGUAGCUGGUCUGAGAGGACGACCAGCCACACUGGGACUGAGACACGGCCCAGACUCCUACGGGAGGCAGCAGUGGGGAAUUUUGGACAAUGGGGGCAACCCUGAUCCAGCAAUGCCGCGUGCAGGAAGAAGGCCUUCGGGUUGUAAACUGCUUUUGUACGGAACGAAACGGUCUGGGUUAAUACCCUGGGCUAAUGACGGUACCGUAAGAAUAAGCACCGGCUAACUACGUGCCAGCCGCCGCCGUAA
This 500-nucleotide ribosomal RNA is filed under the name uncultured bacterium. Its description in RNAcentral is "partial 16S ribosomal RNA". It matches the Rfam family "Bacterial small subunit ribosomal RNA", at positions 30 to 523 of the family's 1533-position model. The record is from RNAcentral.